RNAcentral lists this long non-coding RNA (539 nucleotides) under Bos taurus (domestic cattle). Its description in RNAcentral is "long non-coding RNA NONBTAT012173". The record is from RNAcentral. Lineage: Eukaryota; Metazoa; Chordata; Mammalia; Artiodactyla; Bovidae.
AGGCCUGUCCAUGUUGAAAUGAAUUGCCAAGUAUACAAAAUGACCCCAUUUUUAAUACAUCCCAUAAUACUACAUACACAGGUCUAUGCACAUAUUCAUGGAUCGAUACACUCCUAACUCCUUAUAUCCUUCACAUGCGACUGAGACAGGACAGUAAGAACAGGUGGGUAAAUAAAGUUUUUAAGAUACUUUCAUAUUUAAGGAGUGUUUUAUUUUCUUAACUAAUGAACAAAAACUAGGCUUUGAAUAUAAAUUAAAAUUCUUAUUUUUCCAAGUGAAAAUGCUGAUACUAGCUAAAGUUGAUAAUUUAAGAAAGUGGUACUAGGAGAUUACUUAGAAUUAUGGUAGCAACCACCAGAGUAAAUAGGAAUCAGGAGGACUAGGAAUGAAAUGGUAGACUUUUCCUUAUGUAGAACUAGGCAGCAGAAUUUCUUAAGGUGACUUGGGCUUACAUACAGUAUGACAUGUAAAGUACAUCUAGAUUUUAAGUGCCUUCAAGAGCUUAGUAAAUCAUCAUAAGUAAAGCCAGGCAUAUAAAA